GCAAGAGAGGAUUCAGUCUACAGAACAAUUAGAUAGGUUCUAGCUCAGAGCUAGAUGCUGCAGAAUUUUCGGCUAAAAUCCCUACCACAAUGACCGCGAACCAUUGAGCUGUGCGAACGUACGCGUGAAAGAUAAUGAUACGUAUACUUUGUACGUGAAACAUAACAUAGAAUUUACAUAAUAUAACGCGAAAUUUUUAAUCGAUUGAUCGGCGAAGAGCAUAUAAUCGAUCGCUUAAGAUGGGUACCACUAUUGGACUGUUUCUGUUCUCCGUUUUGUGCGCAAGUGUCGGCGGUGUGCAAGGGGUGUGUAAUCACGUUAAAAACGACGACUUGGUAGAAUACUCUUGUGAGGGCGGUCAACUUUCCGAUCUGAGCGAUUUACCACCGUCAACUGGAAAAAUUCGAAUCUACAACAUGCCCAUCCAACGAAUAACUCCGGACACAUUUUCGAUGUUCGGUUCCGACCUUUGGGUCUUGGGUUGCACUCAUUGCAGUAUAAUUGACAUCGAACCAGGAUCUUUUCAACAGUUCGAUAAUCUUCAGCAUUUGAGUUUAGACAAUAACCAUUUGACUACCGUGAAAGAGUCGUCGUUUAGGGGUUUAGAUUCGUUAACGUACUUAGAUCUGAAUUAUAACAACAUAGAAUCAAUUGAAGAUGGGGUAUUCAGGAAUCUACCCAAUUUAGUCGAUAUGAGAUUAUCUGGCAAUCGUUUAGAAUGCUUGAAUCUUGUUGCCUUGGCACAGCUGAAAGAACUGAAGAGGAUGUUUCUCAGUGAGAAUUCCGAGUUUAAAUGUCCUAACGCUAUUACAACUUUCCUGGAGAAUCGUGGUAUCAGUUUCGAAAAGGAUCCAGAAUGGAGCAGACAAUCGACUGAUUUAAUUAGCGUUCCAAUUCCACCAAUUCCACACGAAGACUACGAUUAUUACGAUGGAUCCAUCACGGAUGAAUGGACGACGUCGCUACCCCCUUACCGUGAAAGGCUACACCCCACGUCCACUCCUGCUGCGGCACCGACAGCGUCCUACCCCCCAUCAAGGUUGUUCACAACCGAAGAAGUGGUCUAUCGCCCAAUGUACAGUACACAAGAUUCGAGAAUGGCUACGAGAACAUCGACAGUUCGCUAUGAUGAUUCAGCGUACGACUAUACAAGAAGACCUUAUGCUCCUCCGACCAUCACACCAGUCGACGCAACGCAACCACCAGAAAUGAUGCAACACGGUAGCCAGGAUACAACGACCUGGAGAUCUUGGCCGAACUUCGUGGAACCCAGCAGUGUUUGGCCCGAAUACCCGCCCCAUAGAAAUCAGGACAAACAGUACACCGACCAACCCGAUUAUUUCAGCCCGCCUAACUCGUUUUCGCUGGCACCCGGCCCAGGUGAUCGCCAGACGUCAUCGCCCUACGUGGAACUCGUGGAACAGACCACAGGUCAUGGUACCGACUGGUCGGAAAGAAAUCCAUCAAACGUACAAUAUCCACCGAACGGAGAUCCUCAGUUCGACGACGGAACACGGAAGCACAGCAUCCCGUCAGUGGAUCCGAUCGAAGUAAAUCACAAUGUUCGCCCUUUACCCCCGGUGAUUGUCCACCCCGCGUCACCUGACAACGUGUUCCAACCCCCUUACUACGAGCACCCGGUCACUGUGCACGCACCGCCGUCGAUGGUCAAUCAGCGACAACAGGAAGAAGGAACUCCGAGUAUCGUGUCAAUCGAAACGACCACCGACAAGCCAUUGCCGAAUUGCCCGCCUACAAAUUUAUCAUCGUCAAUACGAAGCUCUUUGACCACGAUCGUCGUCUCGAUUCUCCUGGUGGUCACGCGUCACGUCUUUGUGGAGGGAUUUUAGCUAAAAGUUUCACUCUCGUCUAAUACCGAGUCAAUAAUUGAAUAUUUCACGAAUCUCGGACAAUGAAAUAAAUUAUGCGGGAACCUGUGCGGGUGAACAUGAAUAGAAUUCAAUAGAACGCUGUUUAUCGUGCUAUUUAAUCGCGGAUUCUAGAUGAUCGAAGUGCAGUUCGAUUUCUUUGUUUUCUUUUCUACGUCGACUUAUGAACUUGAUUGCAAGAAUCUACCUAACGAUCGAUUCUUCAGAAACACUGCAGAGCCUGCGGAAUCCAUAGUGGUUAAUUCCCACGAAAUUCCACAACGAUGACUGGCGGCGAAGGGAAUCCGCUUUCGUUACGCAACCAGGCUGCCUCGAACCCGUUGACUAUUUUCAAUUAUUUCGUGAUUCCGAUGAUUUCCGGAGCUUCGGGCUCGCGGCCAGAUGUGUCGUUCGCUCUAGACACUCGGAGACGAGGUAAUUCAAGGUUGCGGAAGCGGCUCCCUCCGAUGCACUUGUGUGCACUCAGCGAGGGUAUUUUGGCACGCCUCGGAUUCGCAAAUAGCCGGCCAGAGGCUAUCGAUGAUGCAAAGCCAAAUUGUUUUAAGAACCGUUAAACCUUUAUUUAUUUUGUUUGGAGAAAUUGUAAUCGAAUAACGUAAUCACGAUUGCAAUUAAAGAAAUGCACCAAAAUAACGGUUCAUUAAAUUUUACAUAUACAGAAGACAUCAAAUGGAGCUUAUUUGGAUAUUUUAUACAUGUUCAUGUGUAUAUUUUAUAUAUUUUGAUUUAAUUUAAUUCUUAAUUUCUUGAUAACUGAAUCAGAGAUCAGUUCUGGUUGACAAAUUACAUGUGCAAGUGCAUACCAGAUGCAAGUGCAGUACUAAUCUGAUGCCUGGUUGAAGUGGCAUUGGCACGUCGUGAUCUGCACUUCGAUUACAUGGGCGAAAGAAGCAGAGGAAGCCGAACGCUUGGAAAAGAUGCUGAAAAUCGAAAACGAAGAAAACGCAGCCGCGAACGAUUUG
Ceratina calcarata is the source of this 2851-nucleotide RNA transcript. It is a transcript of the gene named dnaJ homolog subfamily C member 9, with no coding region annotated. NCBI's taxonomy places the organism in Eukaryota, Metazoa, Arthropoda, Insecta, Hymenoptera, Apidae. The record is from RefSeq and is a predicted model, not a curated record. The transcript has 4 exons.